GCCCGGCUGGCUCAGUGUGAAAAGCAUGAGACUCUUGAUCUUGGGGUGGUGAGUUCAAGCCCCACGUUGGGCG
This 73-nucleotide transfer RNA is filed under the name Felis catus (domestic cat). It matches the Rfam family "tRNA". From Rfam's summary of the family: Transfer RNA (tRNA) molecules are approximately 80 nucleotides in length. Their secondary structure includes four short double-helical elements and three loops (D, anti-codon, and T loops). Further hydrogen bonds mediate the characteristic L-shaped molecular structure. tRNAs have two regions of fundamental functional importance: the anti-codon, which is responsible for specific mRNA codon recognition, and the 3' end, to which the tRNAs corresponding amino acid is attached (by aminoacyl-tRNA synthetases). tRNAs cope with the degeneracy of the genetic code in two manners: having more than one tRNA (with a specific anti-codon) for a particular amino acid; and 'wobble' base-pairing, i.e. permitting non-standard base-pairing at the 3rd anti-codon position. RNAcentral also lists the same sequence under 1 other name. The record is from Rfam by way of RNAcentral. Lineage: Eukaryota; Metazoa; Chordata; Mammalia; Carnivora; Felidae.